RNAcentral lists this long non-coding RNA (5404 nucleotides) under Homo sapiens (human). Its description in RNAcentral is "HSALNT0178869". The record is from RNAcentral. Lineage: Eukaryota; Metazoa; Chordata; Mammalia; Primates; Hominidae.
GCCCUAUGCUCUGUUUGGAAAGCUGCUUUCUCCCUGUCCUCUUGGCUCUGAGGUGGAUAAGUAGAUUUUCCAUCCUUUGGUCAGUGCCAAUGACUCGGGCCAAAGGAACAGAUGUGAAGUGCAGCCCUCCAAGAGCGAAGUCUGGUCAGAUGAAAACUUUUCCUAGGACAGCUUUUUUCAUGCCUGGCCUCACUGGCAAGCAGAAGAAUGGAUGAGAGACAGCAGCCAUAUGCCAGACCCAUGGCAGACACUCGGCAAUUACAAAUGCUUUGCAAGCAUGCUUGUGACUCAAGAACAGAAGUGAAAGGAAGUGUCGGUCUUCUGCACUCUGCCACAGCAAGAAAAAUAUGAGCCCAAAUCCACCAGGUCCCCCUGACUCAAAGCCUAACCCGAAACACAGAGAAAUCACGUACACUCAUGCCUUCUUCAAACUUCGCUUUUCAGAUCUGGAAGCUAAAAGACGCAGCAACAAUGACUACAUGAAAACUGCUUAAGACCUUUCUUAAAACAGGCAGUGAACUGGUUCUUUGUAAUAAGAGGAUGAAGCAGAAUAUUCCAUAUUUAAUUAGCAAUCUUAAGAAAGUGAAUUAACACCUUCCUUCUGAGGUGUUGCCAGUCAAACACAGUUGGAUUCCCAUUUUUUGGAGGCUUGGAGGCCUGUUUGGGAGAGGUCAUUGACAGUAAAUUGCUAGGACACAUGAUACAAGGCAUCACACAAGGAAACAUUGUGGAAGCUAACAUUUUUCCACAAAACACAAGAGAGAAAACAGAAGCAGAUUGAACAGCAAUGGUACUUAGUGUUACCCCCAGCUUAUAAAUUCCUUUUGGGCAGGAGUGCUAUAUAAUUCAUUUUUGAAUUUCCCUAAUGGCACAUGCUCGGGCACAUUGAAGGCAUUCGAUAUAUGUUUGUUAUUUUUUAACAAAAUUGAAUGGGAAUUGAAAUUUAGUGUGAUAAGAAAAGAUAACCCAUGUAUUUGAGUGUUUAUAUUUUGUAAACCUUGCUCUAAUCGUGCAUCAAGCUGUUAGUAAUUAGUAAAUGCUCAAAGAACUAUUUGUUGUGAAAUUAGUAAAAUUAUUCUCUGAAACAGCAUCUGAUACCAUAAAUACCUCUUAAGACUUUUCAUCAGUGUGCUAAGCUAUGCUUUUAUGCUUGUAGAUAGUAAAAAAAAAAAAAUCUUCUUCUGAAGGCUUUCUGAAUUCUUUCUUCACAUCACAAUGUAAUGUAUUUUCAAGGUUACAUUAGUUACUAUAUUUAUACAUGAAUUUGUGUGUAGAUGUAUAUGUGUAUAUACACUCAUAUAUUAUACAUCACAUAUUUACAUAUAACUGUCAUAUAUAUGAACUUUUUAAAUACAAAAACAUAAUCUAUACUCCAUGUAACACUUCCCCACUAACACACAUACCAAUAUAAAGAGUCAUUUUACUCAUUACUAAACAAACAAAAAAUAGUUCUUGAAACCAAAACCCAUAAUGUAUACUUUGUGUUUCCUUGGUUAUCCUCAUCUAGAAAAAGUCUCUCUGAGUGACUCACACGGCCACAAGGAAUCAUUGCCAUUAAAUUGGCAGCAGUUUUCUGAAAUGUGGCAUGGUGAUGACAAGGGAAUGAAUAUUUUAUCUAAUUCCUGCCUAACAAAUGUAAACUUUCAAAUUAAUUGAAGAUAGAAAAGAAAACACUCUGGGCACUAUUUUAUAAACUUAAUACCUCCUUUAAUUACCUCGGCAAUUCCCUGAGUAGUGACGUGGGGACCUUAGCUGCUCCCAUCCUAUCACUAAGCCAUCUUUAUUGUGCCUUCCAAGGUUAACACAAAAAGGAUAAAGGUCUGAAGAAUUUCAUGGAGUUUUUCUAAGACUUCCUGGAAUUUUUUCUGAAUCUCUCCCACUCAUAUCCCAUCAGCCAGAUGUCACAUAGCCAUAUGCAAGGGAAGCUGGGAAAUAGAGUCUUCCUCUGUGUGUCCCAGGAAUGAGGACACAUGGUAAGCCAGAUUUUAUCAGAGUUAAAGGCAGCACUGUCCCUGCCAUAGUUACUAUUAUCAUUACCCCUUAGAGUUACACCACAUCAACAUUAUCUUUUACGUUUUAGCCAAACGAUUAACUCUACAGUGAAACCUUCCAAUAAUGUGCCCCACAGAAUAAAAACCCAGGCACGAGUCAGUCAUUCACAGCAACUGGCUAACUCUGGUCACCUCAAAAACUUCACAAUAGGGCAACCCUAUAUUUUAUGUGAUUAAUUGUUUUGGACCCAAGCUAUAAUGCUAUGGCUAGUUUCUACUAUAUUUAUAAUACCUUUUUGAAUGUGUUAAUAGUUCCCAAGAAGUACAGUCAAAUCUGUCCUCUAGUGUGAGUCACUAAAAGUGAUUAUUGAUGAACCAUAGGUUGCUGGAGAAGCUGAAUUAUAGUGUAUCAAUUUGUGAUGAUAUAUAAAGAAUGAGAAUGAGAUGAAGUAAAAAUAUAGAAAUAACAUUCUGAUUCCACCCCUUAUUAACUUUAUGUCUCAGUGUCUCAGUUUCCUUAUCUAUAAUUUAUAUCUGUAUGAAAUAAAAAAAUAGAGCAAAUAAUGCUGACAUUUUGUCUAGUAUUAAGGAAUAAAUAUAGUCAUAUUUAAUUAUUAAAAUAACUCUAAAAUAAACACAAUUUCUAUUCCUAUUUUAUGUAAAAAGAAGCUAAAGUUAUAUAACUUGUCCAAGGUCACACAGCUAGGAAGUGUUAGAAAUAGGAUUCAAACUCAGAUCUAUAUGAUUCCAAAGUCCAGAAUCCAUCAUGCUCCUUCUUAAAGAACUCUGCCAUUUUCGAAAUCAGCAGCAAUGUUGAUAUGGUUUGGUUCUGUGUCUUCAUCCAAAUCUCAUGUAGAAUUGUAAUUCCCAGUGUUGAAAGAGGGCCCUGGUUGUGGAUGAUUGAAUCACAGGGGCAGACUUCCCUCUUGCUGUUCUUGUGAUACAGUGCUCACAAGAUCUGAUUACUGGAAAGCGCGUGACACUACACCCUUAGCUCUCUCUCUCUGCCGUGUGAAGAAGGAGCUUGCCUCCACUUUGCCCUUCAGCCAUAAUUGUAAGUUUCCUGAGGCUUCCUCAACCAUGCUUUCUGUACAGCCUCUAAGACUGUGAGUCAAGUAAACCUCUUUUCUUCAUAAAUUAACCAGUCUCAGGUAGUUCUUUAUAGCAAUGUGAGAACGGACUAAUACAGAUGUUGUUGUUAUGGUUAUAAUUAUACCAUCAAUCUUAGCUUUUCUAUUUUGUCCUAGGAAAACUUUCUUCUUUAAUCAUUUAAACAAAGUUUUGCUAUGAACCACUUGGAAAAUAAAAAAGCAGAUAGCUCAAAACAUUGAUAGAGUUUAAAGAAUCAUCAGAGAUAUAGAGAGCAUUUAAUUUGCAAUUCAAAUGGCACUUCUGGUACUACAUAUGUAAGAUACUAAUAAAUACUGAGUGCAGGUAGGCCUCUGCCUUGAUUCCAGGUAGGCCUCUGCCUUGAUUCCACAAGUCUUCAGUUUCAGGUGGUCCAAAAUUCAAGGUGAGAUCAUCUUCCUUAGAAUGUUAAGUAGGUUUACACUGUUUCCUUUUCUCUAUAAAUUUGUUUUUGCAAGCCCCACUUUUUAAAUCUUAUUUUUUAAUAUUUUUUACCAACAUUUUCUCUCUUAUACAAUACUCAUUUUAUUGAGGGGUGUGAGAAUGUGUUAUGUAAAGCCUCUGUUUAAAAAAAUCUGGUUCUGUGACAUUCUACAUCAACUCAUUUUUUAUUACAUAAAUAUAGUUUUAAGGGAGAGAGAAUAAAGUGAGAGUGAAAGAGACGCAAGAAAGAGAGAAAACGAGAAAGAGAGAGAGAGAGAUCAAAGUGCCCUGGUCUUUCCCCUGAAUCUUACCAGUUCAUCAUUUUUGUCUGCCUCACUCUAGGUGACAUGUGACAGGGCAGCAGAUGGUCCCCAAAUCCAAAAAUUGACUAUUUCUAGGGGUGAAAAUUGGUAUAAUGUAUAUCACAGUCUGGUAAGAUAUAAAACAGCUGUACUCUGACAUUCCUAAUAAAGAUUAUUAUAUAAAAUACUCAGGGAAUCAUGCAGAUACAAUUUUUGACAAUAAUCUGGGGUACUGGUACAUGAUAUCUAAUCCUUAAUGAAAGGACACAUUUAGAAAUUUAGAAAUUUCACUAGUCUAUAGAACAAAAAGGCAGAGAGAAGCAGUUUAAGAAAAUCUUUUACAUGCUAAAAAUAUGGGGCUUUGACAGUUAAUGGAGAUAUACCUUGCUUUACACAAUAGCAUAGGAAAACGGGAAUCUCAAUGUAUCUGCUUCUCAGGUGAUUAACUGAGACUCAGAUAAGUUAAGUGCCCUCCGCAGAAAGGAAUAGAAUUUCCACUCCUGACUCCCCACCCACAGGCCCAGCACUUCUCCCACCCAACUUUCAGAGCAGCCUGAUCCAGCUCUGCUGCUGCAGCAAGCUCAAAAAGUCCCCAUCUUGAAAAGUUAUUUCUCAUUUCUCAUUUAUAUUACUAAUAUUUUCAGCUUCCUUAUCCUCACUUCUCAUUAUUCAAAAUAUUUUAACAAAUACAUUUGUAAGUGUGUCUGCACAUAUCUAAACAUAUAUAAAAUUUUGUCCAGCAGAAAAUGUGUUUAUGUAAUAAGCUGCAUAGGAUGACUAACUGUGUGGGAUUUCAUUCAGAAAAAAAAAAAAAUAGUGGGGAAAGAGGAGUUAAUCCUAACUGCAUAGGAUUUCAUUUGGAAAAAAGUGGAAAAAUGAGAGAAUCUUAUGGAUUAAAAAAGUUGAAAAAGAAUAUAGACAACCCAUAAUCCCUUAUUUUAUUACAACAUAUUAAAAACUAAAGAAAGCUGCGUUUAUGGAAUAUAGCCCAUGUGUACACACUGUGCACAGCACUUUGCAGACCUCUGUCAUUCUGUCUUGGCAACAAGCCUAUAAGCAAGUAUUUAUUAUGCCCCUUUUCGUAAACAAGGACACUGUCAAUUGUACACUUAAGCAAUAGUUACAUGGUAGAGGUGGGAUUGAAACCUAGGUGUGCCUGAUGCUUUCCAGCAUACUGUGCUGUCUCUUCCUUCCUACAUUUUUAAACUGGUAACCUUGUGGGGAUUAAUGAGCUCCUUGACUUUAUAACCUGCUAGGUGAAGCAGCACAUUCAUUUAACUACCCUCAAUCCACUGCUUUGGUGUGAUAUUUAGAAUUCUCUCUUUGAAGCAAAAAGGGAGUAUUUAUUUCAUCUAUUUACUUCAUGCAUUUAUUAAUUUCAACCUGCAAAUAUCUGUAGUACCUUGAUUUGAACUUCAAAGAAACAAUAUAAUGUGUGAAGAAUAUAUGGAAUUUGUAUUUCUGUUAGAUGAAUCCUGAUUUCCUUGGCUAAUAUUGUCUACUCUUGAUAAUCUAUGGUUCUAGCAAACAAUAAAAAACUAUAAAUUAGAUCAAUAAAUG